GAUGAACGCUGGCGGCGUGCCUAAUACAUGCAAGUCGAGCGAACGGACGAGAAGCUUGCUUCUCUGAUGUUAGCGGCGGACGGGUGAGUAACACGUGGAUAACCUACCUAUAAGACUGGGAUAACUUCGGGAAACCGGCGCUAAUACCGGAUAAUAUUUUGAACCGCAUGGUUCAAAAGUGAAAGACGGUCUUGCUGUCACUUAUAGAUGGAUCCGCGCUGCAUUAGCUAGUUGGUAAGGUAACGGCUUACCAAGGCAACGAUGCAUAGCCGACCUGUGAGGGUGAUCGGCCACACUGGAACUGAGACACGGUCCAGACUCCUACGGGAGGCAGCAGUAGGGAAUCUUCCGCAAUGGGCGAAAGCCUGACGGAGCAACGCCGCGUGAGUGAUGAAGGUCUUCGGAUCGUAAAACUCUGUUAUUAGGGAAGAACAUAUGUGUAAGUAACUGUGCACAUCUUGACGGUACCUAAUCAGAAAGCCACGGCUAACUACGUG
This 497-nucleotide ribosomal RNA is filed under the name uncultured bacterium. RNAcentral's name for it is "partial 16S ribosomal RNA". It matches the Rfam family "Bacterial small subunit ribosomal RNA", at positions 28 to 507 of the family's 1533-position model. The record is from RNAcentral.